GUAGGGGGCAAGCGUUAUCCGGAUUUACUGGGUGUAAAGGGAGCGUAGACGGCCAUGCAAGUCUGAUGUGAAAACCCGGGGCUCAACCCCGGGACUGCAUUGGAAACUGUGUGGCUGGAGUGUCGGAGAGGCAAGUGGAAUUCCUAGUGUAGCGGUGAAAUGCGUAGAUAUUAGGAGGAACACCAGUGGCGAAGGCGGCUUGCUGGACGACGACUGACGUUGAGGCUCGAAAGCGUGGGGAGCAAA
RNAcentral lists this ribosomal RNA (246 nucleotides) under uncultured bacterium. RNAcentral describes it as "partial 16S ribosomal RNA". It matches the Rfam family "Bacterial small subunit ribosomal RNA", at positions 527 to 772 of the family's 1533-position model. The record is from RNAcentral.